GGAGAGACUCCGGCGUAGUUUAUUUUCCUUCCGAGCAGGGAGGAGAGAACGCGCAAAAUGCUCCUAAUGGAGCAAAGCGAGCAAGAGGAGCCCAAAGGCGCGGGUGUGCGGCCUCAUGGGGACACUGCUGGGGGUUGGGAUUCUCCUUGCUAUGAGGGGCCCAAAGCCUUUGAGGUGGGAAGGAUUUGGGGUGGGAGAAGGGCCGGAGGAAUGGGGACAGGUGGCAGAGUGCACCUGCGGGCAGGAGGAUGGAUGGGUGGGUGGGUGGGUGGGUGGGUGGAGGGAUGCGGCCGCACGGAGCAUCUCCUCAAUGGGUGUGCGGAGCUUUGAGCCUACAGAUGAGCAGACCCCGAUCCCCUCCUCCUUGCUUUAUA
Molecule: long non-coding RNA, 374 nt
Filed under: Gallus gallus (chicken)
Lineage: Eukaryota; Metazoa; Chordata; Aves; Galliformes; Phasianidae
Description: long non-coding RNA NONGGAT007338
Source: RNAcentral